AUGGAGCCACCAGUCAAGGAGGAUGCCAUACGCCUCGACUCCAAAGAUUUCUAUGGUUGCAAGUUUGAAAAGUUUGCUCGUUCUGUUGACAACCGGCUGCUCGUCCGUUCUAAUUCAGACCUGCACACAUUCAAGCUGCGUUGGGACAAGAAUCAUUCCGACAGCCAAGCUGUAAGAAGGUGGAUCAAGUAUGCAGUGAAUCAUAACGUGAAAGUUCUCAAUGUGAUCCUUCAUGAUUAUGACGAGAGUGAAUUGCCUCCUGCCAUCUUCACCUGCCAUUCACUCCAGGAGCUGAAUUUGCAGUUGGGGGUAACUCCUGAAGCUGUGUUCGGUUGA
RNAcentral lists this ribosomal RNA (336 nucleotides) under Triticum aestivum (bread wheat). RNAcentral's name for it is "partial small subunit ribosomal RNA". Lineage: Eukaryota; Viridiplantae; Streptophyta; Magnoliopsida; Poales; Poaceae. The record is from RNAcentral.